Molecule: long non-coding RNA, 795 nt
Organism: Papaver somniferum (opium poppy)
Lineage: Eukaryota; Viridiplantae; Streptophyta; Magnoliopsida; Ranunculales; Papaveraceae
Exons: 4
Source: RefSeq, a predicted model, not a curated record
CUGAUCUCAGCACUUCAGAGGUAUCCAAAACUGCAUAAAUAUUAGAAAUGUUCUACACAUGCAACAAAGAAUCGGGAAUCUAAACUCUUGCAUUGUAGUCUAACAAAAGAAGAGAAGAAUAACCUAUUAAUCCAUCUCCUUCCUAUCCAAGAAAAGGAAACAAAGGAGUAUUUAUCAGUUGAACGCACAGUGAGUAGGAGGCCAUUCCGUGCUCUUCUGGAUAUUGCUAUUCUUAUUGGUGGAUGCUUCGAAGAAAUAGAGUUACUUGGAGAUAUUCACCACAAAACAAAUUUGGUGGGCAUGUUACUGCAUACAUGAGGAGUAUAAGGUGAGAGCGAAGCGGACUUCGCAAAUAUGAAUUCAAGGCAUCUGAGGCUAUGUUGCUGUCCUAAUUAAUGAUGGGAUGCAUCUAAUUGGUGGGGAGAUAUUGUGGUAAUGACUAGGGAAUUAACGCUUCAUAGGUUAGUUUUUUGUGAAUUGAAAGCAUGGCCUGAUUGUGAUGUGGUAUAGGUGAAAUAUGUGUGCUCCCUUCUCUGAUUUUAUCUCUUUCGCGGUACUUGAACUUUUUGUUUAGGAUCCGUAUAUGUUAUGCUUAUCCUAUGUUGAUUACAAUUAUGUCUGCUGUUUCUGUUUAAUGAUGACCAGUUUAGGUUCAUGGCGUCUAAUUUCGUUGUAUUUUGUCGGUCUUCUCUUUCUGUCAGUUCUUAAAUAAUCAAGUUCAAAUUAGCAGUCAUUUGUCUUGAAAUCCAACAAUUUUGACAGUAACUAUUUGUAUUUCAUGUUAGUUUCAUGUGA